RNAcentral lists this ribosomal RNA (490 nucleotides) under uncultured bacterium. RNAcentral's name for it is "partial 16S ribosomal RNA". It matches the Rfam family "Bacterial small subunit ribosomal RNA", at positions 30 to 507 of the family's 1533-position model. The record is from RNAcentral.
AUUGAACGCUGGCGGCAGGCCUAACACAUGCAAGUCGAACGGUAACAGGAAGCAGCUUGCUGCUUUGCUGACGAGUGGCGGACGGGUGAGUAAUGUCUGGGAAACUGCCCGAUGGAGGGGGAUAACUACUGGAAACGGUAGCUAAUACCGCAUAACGUCGCAAGACCAAAGAGGGGGACCUUAGGGCCUCUUGCCAUCGGAUGUGCCCAGAUGGGAUUAGCUAGUAGGUGGGGUAACGGCUCACCUAGGCGACGAUCCCUAGCUGGUCUGAGAGGAUGACGAGCCACACUGGAACUGAGACACGGUCCAGACUCCUACGGGAGGCAGCAGUGGGGAAUAUUGCACAAUGGGCGCAAGCCUGAUGCAGCCAUGCCGCGUGUAUGAAGAAGGCCUUCGGGUUGUAAAGUACUUUCAGCGGGGAGGAAGGGAGUAAAGUUAAUACCUUUGCUCAUUGACGUUACCCGCAGAAGAAGCACCGGCUAACUCCGUG